This 253-nucleotide ribosomal RNA is filed under the name uncultured bacterium. RNAcentral describes it as "partial 16S ribosomal RNA". It matches the Rfam family "Bacterial small subunit ribosomal RNA", at positions 524 to 776 of the family's 1533-position model. The record is from RNAcentral.
GACGUAGGGUGCAAGCGUUAAUCGGAAUUACUGGGCGUAAAGCGUGCGCAGGCGGCUAUGUAAGACAGGUGUGAAAUCCCCGGGCUCAACCUGGGAACUGCACUUGUGACUGCAUGGCUAGAGUGUGUCAGAGGGAGGUGGAAUUCCGCGUGUAGCAGUGAAAUGCGUAGAGAUGCGGAGGAACACCGAUGGCGAAGGCAGCCUCCUGGGAUAACACUGACGCUCAUGCACGAAAGCGUGGGGAGCAAACAGG